RNAcentral lists this ribosomal RNA (424 nucleotides) under uncultured bacterium. RNAcentral describes it as "bacterial SSU rRNA". It matches the Rfam family "Archaeal small subunit ribosomal RNA", at positions 319 to 746 of the family's 1478-position model. The record is from RNAcentral.
UUCCUACGGGGGGCAGCAGGCGCGAAACCUCUGCAAUGCGGGAAACCGUGACAGGGGGAUUCCAAGUGCUCAUGCAUUGCAUGGGCUGUUCUUUGGUCUAAGUAACCAGAGGAGUAAGGGCUGGGCAAGACCGGUGCCAGCCGCCGCGGUAAUACCGGCAGCUCGAGUGGUAGCCGCGAUUAUUGGGCCUAAAACGUUCGUAGCCGGAUAAGUAAGUCUUUGGUUAAAUCCUACGACUUAACCGUGGGAAAUCUAGAGAUACUGCUUGUCUUGAGACCGGGAGAGGUUGGAGGUACUCCCAGGGUAGGGGUGAAAUCCUGUAAUCCUGGGGGGACCACCUGUGGCGAAGGCGUCCAACUGGAACGGCUCUGACGGUGAGGGACGAAACCUAGGGGAGCGAGCCGGAUUAGAUACCCGAGUAGUC